GGGUUGUGAGGUUAAGCGACUAAGCGUACACGGUGGAUGCCCUGGCAGUCAGAGGCGAUGAAGGACGUGCUAAUCUGCGAUAAGCGUCGGUAAGGUGAUAUGAACCGUUAUAACCGGCGAUUUCCGAAUGGGGAAACCCAGUGUGAUUCGUCACACUAUCAUUAACUGAAUCCAUAGGUUAAUGAGGCGAACCGGGGGAACUGAAACAUCUAAGUACCCCGAGGAAAAGAAAUCAACCGAGAUUCCCCCAGUAGCGGCGAGCGAACGGGGAGCAGCCCAGAGCCUGAAUCAGUGUGUGUGUUAGUGGAAGCGUCUGGAAAGGCGCGCGAUACAGGGUGACAGCCCCGUACACAAAAAUGCACAUGCUGUGAGCUCGAUGAGUAGGGCGGGACACGUGGUAUCCUGUCUGAAUAUGGGGGGACCAUCCUCCAAGGCUAAAUACUCCUGACUGACCGAUAGUGAACCAGUACCGUGAGGGAAAGGCGAAAAGAACCCCGGCGAGGGGAGUGAAAAAGAACCUGAAACCGUGUACGUACAAGCAGUGGGAGCACAGAGCAAUCUGUGUGACUGCGUACCUUUUGUAUAAUGGGUCAGCGACUUAUAUUCUGUAGCAAGGUUAACCGAAUAGGGGAGCCGAAGGGAAACCGAGUCUUAACUGGGCGUUAAGUUGCAGGGUAUAGACCCGAAACCCGGUGAUCUAGCCAUGGGCAGGUUGAAGGUUGGGUAACACUAACUGGAGGACCGAACCGACUAAUGUUGAAAAAUUAGCGGAUGACUUGUGGCUGGGGGUGAAAGGCCAAUCAAACCGGGAGAUAGCUGGUUCUCCCCGAAAGCUAUUUAGGUAGCGCCUCGUGAAUUCAUCUCCGGGGGUAGAGCACUGUUUCGGCAAGGGGGUCAUCCCGACUUACCAACCCGAUGCAAACUGCGAAUACCGGAGAAUGUUAUCACGGGAGACACACGGCGGGUGCUAACGUCCGUCGUGAAGAGGGAAACAACCCAGACCGCCAGCUAAGGUCCCAAAGUCAUGGUUAAGUGGGAAACGAUGUGGGAAGGCCCAGACAGCCAGGAUGUUGGCUUAGAAGCAGCCAUCAUUUAAAGAAAGCGUAAUAGCUCACUGGUCGAGUCGGCCUGCGCGGAAGAUGUAACGGGGCUAAACCAUGCACCGAAGCUGCGGCAGCGACACUUAUGUGUUGUUGGGUAGGGGAGCGUUCUGUAAGCCUGCGAAGGUGUGCUGUGAGGCAUGCUGGAGGUAUCAGAAGUGCGAAUGCUGACAUAAGUAACGAUAAAGCGGGUGAAAAGCCCGCUCGCCGGAAGACCAAGGGUUCCUGUCCAACGUUAAUCGGGGCAGGGUGAGUCGACCCCUAAGGCGAGGCCGAAAGGCGUAGUCGAUGGGAAACAGGUUAAUAUUCCUGUACUUGGUGUUACUGCGAAGGGGGGACGGAGAAGGCUAUGUUGGCCGGGCGACGGUUGUCCCGGUUUAAGCGUGUAGGCUGGUUUUCCAGGCAAAUCCGGAAAAUCAAGGCUGAGGCGUGAUGACGAGGCACUACGGUGCUGAAGCAACAAAUGCCCUGCUUCCAGGAAAAGCCUCUAAGCAUCAGGUAACAUCAAAUCGUACCCCAAACCGACACAGGUGGUCAGGUAGAGAAUACCAAGGCGCUUGAGAGAACUCGGGUGAAGGAACUAGGCAAAAUGGUGCCGUAACUUCGGGAGAAGGCACGCUGAUAUGUAGGUGAAGUCCCUCGCGGAUGGAGCUGAAAUCAGUCGAAGAUACCAGCUGGCUGCAACUGUUUAUUAAAAACACAGCACUGUGCAAACACGAAAGUGGACGUAUACGGUGUGACGCCUGCCCGGUGCCGGAAGGUUAAUUGAUGGGGUUAGCGCAAGCGAAGCUCUUGAUCGAAGCCCCGGUAAACGGCGGCCGUAACUAUAACGGUCCUAAGGUAGCGAAAUUCCUUGUCGGGUAAGUUCCGACCUGCACGAAUGGCGUAAUGAUGGCCAGGCUGUCUCCACCCGAGACUCAGUGAAAUUGAACUCGCUGUGAAGAUGCAGUGUACCCGCGGCAAGACGGAAAGACCCCGUGAACCUUUACUAUAGCUUGACACUGAACAUUGAGCCUUGAUGUGUAGGAUAGGUGGGAGGCUUUGAAGUGUGGACGCCAGUCUGCAUGGAGCCGACCUUGAAAUACCACCCUUUAAUGUUUGAUGUUCUAACGUGGACCCGUGAUCCGGGUUGCGGACAGUGUCUGGUGGGUAGUUUGACUGGGGCGGUCUCCUCCUAAAGAGUAACGGAGGAGCACGAAGGUUGGCUAAUCCUGGUCGGACAUCAGGAGGUUAGUGCAAUGGCAUAAGCCAGCUUGACUGCGAGCGUGACGGCGCGAGCAGGUGCGAAAGCAGGUCAUAGUGAUCCGGUGGUUCUGAAUGGAAGGGCCAUCGCUCAACGGAUAAAAGGUACUCCGGGGAUAACAGGCUGAUACCGCCCAAGAGUUCAUAUCGACGGCGGUGUUUGGCACCUCGAUGUCGGCUCAUCACAUCCUGGGGCUGAAGUAGGUCCCAAGGGUAUGGCUGUUCGCCAUUUAAAGUGGUACGCGAGCUGGGUUUAGAACGUCGUGAGACAGUUCGGUCCCUAUCUGCCGUGGGCGCUGGAGAACUGAGGGGGGCUGCUCCUAGUACGAGAGGACCGGAGUGGACGCAUCACUGGUGUUCGGGUUGUCAUGCCAAUGGCACUGCCCGGUAGCUAAAUGCGGAAGAGAUAAGUGCUGAAAGCAUCUAAGCACGAAACUUGCCCCGAGAUGAGUUCUCCCUGAC
RNAcentral lists this ribosomal RNA (2804 nucleotides) under Escherichia coli. Its description in RNAcentral is "bacterial LSU rRNA". It matches the Rfam family "Bacterial large subunit ribosomal RNA". Lineage: Bacteria; Pseudomonadati; Pseudomonadota; Gammaproteobacteria; Enterobacterales; Enterobacteriaceae. The record is from RNAcentral.